UCGGAACACAGGUGCUGCAUGGCUGUCGUCAGCUCGUGUCGUGAGAUGUGGGUUAAGUCCCGCAACGAGCGCAACCCUUAUCAUUAGUUGCUACGCAAGGGCACUCUAAUGAGACUGCCGGUGACAAACCGGGAGGAAGGUGGGGAUGACGUCAAGUCCUCAUGGCCCUUAUGGGUAGGGCUUCACACGUCAUACAAUGGUCGGUACAGAGGGUUGCCAAGCCGCGAGGCGGAGCCAAUCCCACAAAGCCGAUCGUAGUCCGGAUCGCAGUCUGCAACUCGACUGCGUGAAGUCGGAAUCGCUAGUAAUCGCGGAUCAGCAUGUCGCGGUGAAUACGUUCCCGGGUCUU
This 349-nucleotide ribosomal RNA is filed under the name uncultured Methyloversatilis sp. RNAcentral describes it as "bacterial SSU rRNA". It matches the Rfam family "Bacterial small subunit ribosomal RNA", at positions 1027 to 1382 of the family's 1533-position model. Lineage: Bacteria; Pseudomonadati; Pseudomonadota; Betaproteobacteria; Nitrosomonadales; Sterolibacteriaceae. The record is from RNAcentral.